This 267-nucleotide long non-coding RNA is filed under the name Mytilus galloprovincialis (Mediterranean mussel). The record is from RNAcentral. Lineage: Eukaryota; Metazoa; Mollusca; Bivalvia; Mytilida; Mytilidae.
AUUGCUGAAGUUUACUUUUAUUAUUUAAUUCUUGAAGGACUGUAUUCAGCAGGACAAGGUUAUUCAUAAAUAUUCAUUUUCUUUCUUUUCAAAUUGGGGAAUUUUGCAAAAAUUAAAGAAGAAAUACCAACAAUUUCACAUCAUUUUGGCUAUAUUUCAUAUUUAUUCAGGCUUCCUUGGUAAUCAACUUAUUAUAUAUAAUCAUUGUGAUAGUAAUGUAAAGAUUUAUAAAAAAUAAAAAAUUUGAGGCAUUCAGAAUUCCUUUCU